AAUGGCUCAGCGGGUGCGCCAGAUGGAAAAACGUGGUUCUUUCUUCGAUUCCCGCAUCAACAAAACAAAGUUCAAAGUUCAAGGUGCUCUGGAGAAAAAGAAAUAAACGUCGAGCAAGUCCUUGACGUACUUAAGGUCAUGGUGUUAUCACGAGUUUCUAGCAUUGCGAAUGGUUUAAAAAUAGUGGCCCUAUCUCAUCAGUUUUCUACUUGAGACCCAGAUAAAAUGAGAACCUUGGUUUAGUCUCUGCACAAGGAAGAAAUGAUAGCCCCUCACCUUGGAUCGUGUUUUUGAAUAAUUCGCAGGACAUCUAAAAUGUUUAAGCUUAUUUGUCUACUGAUUAUUUAUCUGUCCACAAUGACGUCAUUUGUAAACUCGUUACCAUGCCAAAAAAGGACCAACAUACAAGCGCCACGAGUAUUACGUCUUCUUGAGGAAAAAUACAUUUUCGUGAAGAAAAAGACAAGAAGUGAAAUUCCACUUCUUACAACCACUCCAUUUCCACGACGAAGAACUACUCGAGUUGCAGACGCUUCAAACAUACCGGGAACUACUUAUUGUCCGUGGGUCUGGGAACAGGACGAUGAUCCCGAACGUGUCCCGCGGAUAUUAGUAAAAGCUAAGUGUCCUGGAUGUAAACAUUUUUGUAAACCUGUACACUACCACCACACGGUUCUAAUAGCAAAAUGCGACAAAACUACAGGUCACAAAGUAUGGAAGUGGAGGGAGAGAAAACUUGCCGUGGCAUAUGUUUAUGAACCUUACGAUUGACGGGAAUUCCUUGUGGCUGUGUGGAUCGUCCUUCUUCCUAAACUUUUAGAUUGUUGUAAUUUCAUAUGAAAAAUAUAUUUUUAUGGGAUAUUCAUUAUUUAUUUUGAGAAAACCUCGAAAAAGGCUGAAGCUAAACCAAAGUGCAAACUCAUUCCACAAAAACAAAGAAAAAAAUAAUUUGAGAUGUUGUGUCAACAUCUCUCCAGGAGGGACAUGCUGUAUUUUUAACCACUGAGCCUCUUCCGUACCUUCUCUUUCUCAACAAAUGUUUUAAAUACAAUUUUAUUAUUUAUGUUGAACAAUCAAAAUUAACCUGAAUUUAGACAGAGCGGUGUAUUUUCCAGAUACAUUUUAGGUUGUAGCAGAAUACUUAUUCAUUGUAACUCAAACGAAAUUAUUAAGCCUUAGGUCCUUAGGUUUCUGCAUGCAGUAAAUGUCUGAGCUUGUUUUACUUCACUGAGUUUUCGACAAUUUGAUCGUCCGAUUUAGAAAGUGUCCUAUGGAAGCUUAUGUUGCACAUGUAAUUGUGACCUUCGCACUCGCACAGCACGCAUAACUAUGCAAUUAGCAUAAGCACGAGCACCGCGCUUUGUAGAAAUUAUAAUAAUUCCGUAAUGAAUAAAGGUUUUCAGUUUUAACAUGGAA
This 1416-nucleotide unclassified non-coding RNA is filed under the name Pocillopora damicornis (cauliflower coral). Its description in RNAcentral is "uncharacterized LOC113669855, transcript variant X1". The record is from RNAcentral. Lineage: Eukaryota; Metazoa; Cnidaria; Anthozoa; Scleractinia; Pocilloporidae.